This is a long non-coding RNA of Hordeum vulgare subsp. vulgare (domesticated barley), 1865 nucleotides long. RefSeq lists it as uncharacterized. Lineage: Eukaryota; Viridiplantae; Streptophyta; Magnoliopsida; Poales; Poaceae. The transcript has 4 exons. The record is from RefSeq and is a predicted model, not a curated record.
CUCUCUCCUCCACAUCCUCUUGGGAUUAUCCUCCUUCCCAGACCCCUCCCUCCACUAGAUCCGCUGACCUCGCCAGACGGUGAGGUGGGAGGGGGGGCGAUCCCUGCUCCCACUUCAUAGUUGUAGGUUUUCUAGAACUCGGUGUUCCUUGAUGGGAUGGAGGCACCGUCGAUCUCCUCUCAUGGUCAUCCUCAGCAUGGUUGGUCUUCAUCUCGGGAUUCCUCGUCGACGACUUCUGCUGGGUUUGUCCCAAAGAUUUGAUAAGAUGUUUUGAAGUACUUGGUAGUGGAAACAACUCAAAUCCAAACACCCGCAAUGGUGUCAAUGUUUCGGCACAUGCCACUCAUCAAGAUCAGGUGAAUUCCGUAGAAGAAGAGCAUGAAAUUUUUAUGCCAAACAAACAAAUGAAAGAAAAUACUAGAAAUUUUGUUGAAGCUAUAGUGGAAGAGAAUGUUGACGUUCAUGGAGUUGAAGGUAUAGCUGUUUUUAAUGUGUACAUAAACUAUGAUCUAGGACUUUGCAAUCCACUUGAUAUAUUAACCCACGACAUUAGAUAUGAUGUUAUAUUUUCUUAUCUACAAAGGGCCCAACUCGACCAGAUAUCCACAAUUGCCCCCCAAAUGGGGAUGAAAGGUGCUUCCGGCCACAAUGGUUUAAGUAGUUUGAUUGGCUAGAAUAUAGUGUACAAAAUUAUAAGACUUAUUGCUUCUAUUGUUAUCUUUUUAAGCAUGCUGAAUGGAUGAAAACUUUCGUCAUGUUGUCUUCUCCAAAUCGGGUUUUGGCUGUUGGAAAAGUUUUCAGUUGUGUCAUUCUGGGAAAUGGGAUUGGUCACGAAUGUGGGAACACAUUUGAUCAAUUUAAGAAAUGAUGGUUGGGAGUCACCCUUGGAAGAUGUCAAAGUAUUUUAUGCAAACAAUAACAUUACAGUACUAAAUAUGGAUGCCAUCUUUCCAAAAUUGUGAAUCAAGAAAUUGUGGAUCAACAAUGUCAUUGCUGAUCAUUUUUUCGUGUGGACACCUGCUAUGUUGCUAUAGACUCCAUCACAAUGGAUUUUGAUCAUCGUUUUAAUGAGGGCACAUCAUGUUUCCUAUGGUUUAUUGCCACAUUGAGUUGGCAUUGCUACUACCGGUAAUGACGGCAACAUUUGAAAGGGUCUUCUCGGCAAAGAAAACCAUCAAGACCGAGUUUCGCAGCAAGAUGUCCUUUUUCUGGCUUAGUGAUUUGAUGGUAUGUUACAUUGAGCGAGGUAUAUUCAAAAUUCUUGAUCGUGGUAAAAUUAAGGAAGAUUAAGGAUGGCACGACAUUGACAUUGCCUACAUCUUCUAGACAUCAUUGAAAGUUUCAUCAUCGGUUGAUUAUCAAGUAAAAGUUCUCGUUGUGUUGCGUUAGUGGGAUUUGAUAUGCCUUGUGGAAAAUAUUUUAGGUUAUGUUUGCACAUGCUUGGGAUUUAUUAUAGUUGGUGAGAAUUGAUUACAAAAAUAUGAUUUAUAUGCCCACAUAUGAAUCUCAGAGGUUUAUAAGCAAAAUUUGACACUCAGGUUUGAUAUUUUUAAUAGCUACAUACAUGUUCUUUUACUUGUUUGGGUUUACAUCUUUGGGGUUAGCCAUAGUUGGUAAAAUUUUAUAAGAAUGACAUCCUAAAUCCAUGGUAAUUAUUUAGGUAUUGACUAGCAAAAGAGCCAGUGUGUUGCAAUGGCCAUGAUCACAUUUUGAUGCAUCACCGAGAUACACUAUCACUCUCAAUUUCACGAAAUCAUAAACAAUUUUUAAAAUCAUGAAUAAUUUUUUUUAAACUCGUGCACAUAUUUGAAAUUGUGAAAAAAAAUACUAUUACAAAUUUCCAAACAUUUUAUAAAAUCAAGAAU